This 21-nucleotide non-coding RNA is filed under the name Arabidopsis thaliana (thale cress). Lineage: Eukaryota; Viridiplantae; Streptophyta; Magnoliopsida; Brassicales; Brassicaceae. The record is from RNAcentral.
UAUCAAUCAGAAAGAACUGCG